GACGAACCGUGCGAACGUUGUUCGGAAUCACUGGGCUUAAAGGGCGCGUAGGCGGGUGUGCAAGUCUGUGGUGAAAGCCUCCAGCUUAACUGGAGAAGUGCCGUGGAUACUGCGCAUCUUGAGGAGGGUAGGGGCAUCUGGAACGGUCGGUGGAGCGGUGAAAUGCGUUGAUAUCGACCGGAACUCCGGUGGCGAAGGCGAGGUGCUGGACCCUUUCUGACGCUGAGGCGCGAAAGCCAGGGGAGCAAACGGG
RNAcentral lists this ribosomal RNA (253 nucleotides) under uncultured bacterium. RNAcentral's name for it is "partial 16S ribosomal RNA". It matches the Rfam family "Bacterial small subunit ribosomal RNA", at positions 524 to 776 of the family's 1533-position model. The record is from RNAcentral.